Molecule: ribosomal RNA, 469 nt
Filed under: Vultur gryphus (Andean condor)
Lineage: Eukaryota; Metazoa; Chordata; Aves; Accipitriformes; Cathartidae
Description: partial small subunit ribosomal RNA
Rfam family: Bacterial small subunit ribosomal RNA
Source: RNAcentral
AAAGACUUAGUCCUAACCUUACAGUUAAUUCUUGCUAGACAUAUACAUGCAAGUAUCCGCGCCCCAGUGUAAAUGCCCCUAAUCUCUUACUAAGACAAAAGGAGCAGGUAUCAGGCACACCCAUGAUUAGUAGCCCAAGACACCUUGCACAGCCACACCCCCACGGGUACUCAGCAGUAAUUAACAUUAAGCAAUAAGUGUAAACUUGACUUAGUUAUAGCAACACACAGGGUUGGUAAAUCUUGUGCCAGCCACCGCGGUCAUACAAGAGACCCAAAUUAACUGUACACGGCGUAAAGAGUGGAAUUAAUACUAUCACAACAACUAAGAUCAAACCGUAACUGAGCUGUCAUAAGCCCAAGAUGCUCCUAAGACCACCCUUAAGACGAUCUUAGCGCCUUACGAUUAAUUAAAUCCCACGAAAGCUUGGGCACAAACUGGGAUUAGAUACYCCACUAUGCCGGCCCUA